GUUCUUACAUCCAGGUUCCACUCUCACAGGGUUCUUACAUCCAGGUUCCACUCUCACAAGGUUCUUACAUCCAGGUUCCACUCUCACAAGGUUCUUACAUCCAGGUUCCACUCUCACAAGGUUCUUACAUCCAGGUUCCACUCUCCCAGGGUUCUUACAUAUAGGUUCCACUCUCACAAGGUUCUUGCAUCCAGGUUCCACUCUCACAGGGUUCUUACAUCCAGGUUCCACUCUCACAAGGUUCUUACAUCCAGGUUCCACUCUCGCAGGGUUCUUACAUCCAGGUUCCACUCUCACAAGAUGUCUUUUUACUGCCAACAAUCAGCCCGUGGAUGGAUCAUGUUGGACAACAUGAAGUGUAGAACAUGUGCCUUACUAAGCACCUCUGUGAAUGUAGUCAGUCAUAAAGUCUGCUCUUAUUUGAAUAAAGAACCUCGGUGUGCACUUGUUA
Molecule: long non-coding RNA, 451 nt
Organism: Nerophis ophidion (straightnose pipefish)
Lineage: Eukaryota; Metazoa; Chordata; Actinopteri; Syngnathiformes; Syngnathidae
Exons: 2
Source: RefSeq, a predicted model, not a curated record